Molecule: ribosomal RNA, 431 nt
Filed under: uncultured bacterium
Lineage: Bacteria
Description: bacterial SSU rRNA
Rfam family: Bacterial small subunit ribosomal RNA
Source: RNAcentral
UAGGGAAUAUUCCGCAAUGGGCGAAAGCCUGACGGAGCGACGCCGCGUGAACGAAGAAGUCUUUCGGGAUGUAAAGUUCAAUCGGCCGGGGAAGAAGGGAUAGUAUAUGAAUAAUAUAUUGUUCAUGACGGUACCUGGAAUGAAGCCACGGCUAAUUACGUGCCAGCAGCCGCGGUAAUACGUAAGUGGCAAGCGUUAUCCGGAAUCACUGGGUGUAAAGGGUGUGUAGGCGGUAAUGUAAGUUUUAUGUUUAAUGAUGCGGCUCAACCGCAUUUGUGCAUAAAAUACUGCAUUGCUGGAGUGGUGGAGAGGAAACUGGAACUCAAGGUGUAGCGGUGAAAUGUGUAGAUAUCUUGGGGAACACCAAUGGCGAAGGCAGGUUUCUGGCCACUAACUGACGCUGAGACACGAAAGCGUGGGGAGCAAACGGG